RNAcentral lists this ribosomal RNA (1110 nucleotides) under uncultured bacterium. RNAcentral describes it as "bacterial SSU rRNA". It matches the Rfam family "Bacterial small subunit ribosomal RNA", at positions 1 to 1116 of the family's 1533-position model. The record is from RNAcentral.
CCCAAUGUGGAAUUCGCCCUUAGAGUUUGUCCUGGCUCAGGAUGAACGCUAGCGGCGUGCCUAAUGCAUGCAAGUCGAACGGGAUCCUUUGGACUCGUCUAAAGGUGAGAGUGGCGAACGGGUGAGUAACACGUUGGUGACCUACCCCAGAGAGGGGGAUAACCAUUGGAAACGAUGGCUAAUACCCCGGAUGUCAUUAUUGUUAGAGAGUAAUGACUAAAGCUCCGGCGCUCUGGGAGGGGCCUGCGGCCCAUCAGCUAGUUGGUAGGGUAACGGCCUACCAAGGCAAAGACGGGUAGGGGGCGUGAGAGCGUGACCCCCCACACUGGUACUGACACACGGACCAGAUACCUACGGGUAGCAGCAGCAAGGAAUAUUGCCCAAUGGACGAAAGUCUGAGGCAGCAACGCCGCGUGGAGGAUGAAGGCCUUCGGGUUGUAAACUCCUUUUCUGGGGGAAGAGAAAGGACGGUACCCCAGAAAUAAUCUCGGCUAACUACGUGCCGCAGCCGCGGUAAACGUAGGAGGCGAGCGUUAUCCGGAUUUACUGGGCGUAAAGCGCGUGUAGGCGGUUUUCUAAGUCGGACGUGAAAGCUCCCGGCUCAACUGGGAGAGGUCGUUCGAUACUAGAAAACUUGAGGGUGGUAGAGGAGAGUGGAAUUCCCGGUGUAGUGGUGAAAUGCGUAGAUAUCGGGAGGAACACCAGUGGCGAAGGCGGCUCCUGGGCCACUCCUGACGCUAAGACGCGAAAGCUAGGGGAGAGAACGGGAUUAGAAACCCCGGUAUUCCUAGCCGUAAACGAUGUCAACUAGGUGUAGGGGGUAUCCAACCCCCCUGUGCUGCAGCUAACGCGUUAAGUUGACCGCCUGGGGACUACGGCCGCAAGGCUAAAACUCAAAGGAAUUGACGGGGACCCGCACAAGCAGCGGAGCGUGUGGUUUAAUUCGAGGCUACGCGAAGAACCUUACCAGGGUUUGACAUGGCGGUGGUAGGAAGGCGAAAGCUAACCGACCCUUCGGGGAGCCGUCACAGGUGCUGCAUGGCUGUCGUCAGCUCGUGCCGUGAGGUGUUAGGUUAAGUCCCGCAACGAGCAAGGGCGAAUUCCACAGUG